This 492-nucleotide ribosomal RNA is filed under the name uncultured bacterium. RNAcentral describes it as "partial 16S ribosomal RNA". It matches the Rfam family "Bacterial small subunit ribosomal RNA", at positions 29 to 507 of the family's 1533-position model. The record is from RNAcentral.
AGUGAACGCUGGCGGUAGGCCUAACACAUGCAAGUCGAACGGCAGCACAGUAAGAGCUUGCUCUUACGGGUGGCGAGUGGCGGACGGGUGAGGAAUACAUCGGAAUCUACUUUUUCGUGGGGGAUAACGUAGGGAAACUUACGCUAAUACCGCAUACGACCUACGGGUGAAAGUAGGGGAUCUUCGGACCUUGCGCGAUUGAAUGAGCCGAUGUCGGAUUAGCUAGUUGGCGGGGUAAAGGCCCACCAAGGCGACGAUCCGUAGCUGGUCUGAGAGGAUGAUCGGCCACACUGGAACUUAGACACGGUCCAGACUCCUACGGGAGGCAGCAGUGGGGAAUAUUGGACAAUGGGCGCAAGCCUUAUCCAGCCAUACCGCGUGGGUGAAGAAGGCCUUCGGGUUGUAAAGCCCUUUUGUUGGGAAAGAAAAGCAGCAGGUUAAGACCCCGCUGUUCUGGCGGUACCCAAAGAAUAAGCACCGGCUAACUUCGUG